GGUUAAGCGACUAAGCGUACACGGUGGAUGCCCUGGCAGUCAGAGGCGAUGAAGGGCGUGCUAAUCUGCGAUAAGCGCCGGUAAGGUGAUAUGAACCGUUAUAACCGGCGAUACCCGAAUGGGGAAACCCAGUGUGAUUCGUCACACUAUCAUUAACUGAAUCCAUAGGUUAAUGAGGCGAACCGGGGGAACUGAAACAUCUAAGUACCCCGAGGAAAAGAAAUCAACCGAGAUUCCCCCAGUAGCGGCGAGCGAACGGGGAGGAGCCCAGAGCCUGAAUCAGCAUGUGUGUUAGUGGAAGCGUCUGGAAAGGUGCGCGAUACAGGGUGACAGCCCCGUACACAAAAGCGCAUGUGCUGUGAGCUCGAUGAGUAGGGCGGGACACGUGGUAUCCUGUCUGAAUAUGGGGGGACCAUCCUCCAAGGCUAAAUACUCCUGACUGACCGAUAGUGAACCAGUACCGUGAGGGAAAGGCGAAAAGAACCCCGGCGAGGGGAGUGAAAAAGAACCUGAAACCGUGUACGUACAAGCAGUGGGAGCACCCUUCGGGGUGUGACUGCGUACCUUUUGUAUAAUGGGUCAGCGACUUAUAUUCUGUAGCAAGGUUAACCGUAUAGGGGAGCCGGAGGGAAACCGAGUCUUAACCGGGCGUUAAGUUGCAGGGUAUAGACCCGAAACCCGGUGAUCUAGCCAUGGGCAGGUUGAAGGUUGGGUAACACUAACUGGAGGACCGAACCGACUAAUGUUGAAAAAUUAGCGGAUGACCUGUGGCUGGGGGUGAAAGGCCAAUCAAACCGGGAGAUAGCUGGUUCUCCCCGAAAGCUAUUUAGGUAGCGCCUCGUGAAUUCAUCUCCGGGGGUAGAGCACUGUUUCGGCUAGGGGGCCAUCCCGGCUUACCAACCCGAUGCAAACUGCGAAUACCGGAGAAUGUUAUCACGGGAGACACACGGCGGGUGCUAACGUCCGUCGUGAAGAGGGAAACAACCCAGACCGCCAGCUAAGGUCCCAAAGUCAUGGUUAAGUGGGAAACGAUGUGGGAAGGCCCAGACAGCCAGGAUGUUGGCUUAGAAGCAGCCAUCAUUUAAAGAAAGCGUAAUAGCUCACUGGUCGAGUCGGCCUGCGCGGAAGAUGUAACGGGGCUAAACCAUGCACCGAAGCUGCGGCAGCGAACGUAUCACCCAAGACAACUUUACGGAGUUGACGAUUGACGGAGCGAAGCGACGUCAAAGCGUUCAUUAAAGUCGAGUUGGCUUAGGGAUACGUUCGUUGGGUAGGGGAGCGUUCUGUAAGCCUGUGAAGGUGUGUCGUGAGGCAUGCUGGAGGUAUCAGAAGUGCGAAUGCUGACAUAAGUAACGAUAAAGCGGGUGAAAAGCCCGCUCGCCGGAAGACCAAGGGUUCCUGUCCAACGUUAAUCGGGGCAGGGUGAGUCGACCCCUAAGGCGAGGCCGAAAGGCGUAGUCGAUGGGAAACGGGUUAAUAUUCCCGUACUUGGUGUUACUGCGAAGGGGGGACGGAGAAGGCUAUGUUGGCCGGGCGACGGUUGUCCCGGUUUAAGCGUGUAGGUGUGUGUUCCAGGUAAAUCCGGUUCACUUUAACACUGAGGCGUGACGACGAGGCACUACGGUGCUGAAGCAACAAAUGCCCUGCUUCCAGGAAAAGCCUCUAAGCAUCAGGUAACACGAAAUCGUACCCCAAACCGACACAGGUGGUCAGGUAGAGAAUACCAAGGCGCUUGAGAGAACUCGGGUGAAGGAACUAGGCAAAAUGGUGCCGUAACUUCGGGAGAAGGCACGCUGACACGUAGGUGAAGUGAUUUACUCAUGGAGCUGAAGUCAGUCGAAGAUACCAGCUGGCUGCAACUGUUUAUUAAAAACACAGCACUGUGCAAACACGAAAGUGGACGUAUACGGUGUGACGCCUGCCCGGUGCCGGAAGGUUAAUUGAUGGGGUCAGCGCAAGCGAAGCUCCUGAUCGAAGCCCCGGUAAACGGCGGCCGUAACUAUAACGGUCCUAAGGUAGCGAAAUUCCUUGUCGGGUAAGUUCCGACCUGCACGAAUGGCGUAAUGAUGGCCAGGCUGUCUCCACCCGAGACUCAGUGAAAUUGAACUCGCUGUGAAGAUGCAGUGUACCCGCGGCAAGACGGAAAGACCCCGUGAACCUUUACUAUAGCUUGACACUGAACAUUGAGCCUUGAUGUGUAGGAUAGGUGGGAGGCUUUGAAGUGUGGACGCCAGUCUGCAUGGAGCCGACCUUGAAAUACCACCCUUUAAUGUUUGAUGUUCUAACGUGGACCCGUAAUCCGGGUUGCGGACAGUGUCUGGUGGGUAGUUUGACUGGGGCGGUCUCCUCCUAAAGAGUAACGGAGGAGCACGAAGGUUGGCUAAUCCUGGUCGGACAUCAGGAGGUUAGUGCAAUGGCAUAAGCCAGCUUGACUGCGAGCGUGACGGCGCGAGCAGGUGCGAAAGCAGGUCAUAGUGAUCCGGUGGUUCUGAAUGGAAGGGCCAUCGCUCAACGGAUAAAAGGUACUCCGGGGAUAACAGGCUGAUACCGCCCAAGAGUUCAUAUCGACGGCGGUGUUUGGCACCUCGAUGUCGGCUCAUCACAUCCUGGGGCUGAAGUAGGUCCCAAGGGUAUGGCUGUUCGCCAUUUAAAGUGGUACGCGAGCUGGGUUUAGAACGUCGUGAGACAGUUCGGUCCCUAUCUGCCGUGGGCGCUGGAGAACUGAGGGGGGCUGCUCCUAGUACGAGAGGACCGGAGUGGACGCAUCACUGGUGUUCGGGUUGUCAUGCCAAUGGCACUGCCCGGUAGCUAAAUGCGGAAGAGAUAAGUGCUGAAAGCAUCUAAGCACGAAACUUGCCCCGAGAUGAGUUCUCCCUGAGACUUAGAGUCUCCUGAAGGAACGUUGAAGACGACGACGUUGAUAGGCCGGGUGUGUAAGCGCAGCGAUGCGUUGAGCUAACCGGUACUAAUGAACCGUGAGGCUUAACCUUAC
This 2992-nucleotide ribosomal RNA is filed under the name Salmonella enterica subsp. enterica serovar Typhimurium str. DT104. RNAcentral describes it as "bacterial LSU rRNA". It matches the Rfam family "Bacterial large subunit ribosomal RNA". Lineage: Bacteria; Pseudomonadati; Pseudomonadota; Gammaproteobacteria; Enterobacterales; Enterobacteriaceae. The record is from RNAcentral.